ACUGGCGAGGAUGACAUACACUUGCCCUCACUUAGACCAUCGUUCAUUGAUGAGAGUGCCUAGUGUUCUGAGCCCGU
This is a small nucleolar RNA of Physeter macrocephalus (sperm whale), 77 nucleotides long. Lineage: Eukaryota; Metazoa; Chordata; Mammalia; Artiodactyla; Physeteridae. The record is from Ensembl.